RNAcentral lists this ribosomal RNA (440 nucleotides) under uncultured bacterium. RNAcentral describes it as "partial 16S ribosomal RNA". It matches the Rfam family "Bacterial small subunit ribosomal RNA", at positions 338 to 795 of the family's 1533-position model. The record is from RNAcentral.
CCUACGGGUGGCAGCAGUGGGGAAUAUUGCACAAUGGGGGAAACCCUGAUGCAGCGACGCCGCGUGAGUGAAGAAGUAAUUCGUUAUGUAAAGCUCUAUCAGCAGGGGAGAAAAUGACGGUACCUGUGUAAGAAGCCCCGGCUAACUACGUGCCAGCAGCCGCGGUAAUACGUAGGGGGCAAGGGUUAUCCGGAUUUACUGGGUGUAAAGGGAGCGUAGACGGCAGUGUAAGUCUGGAGUGAAAGUCGGGGGCUCAACCCCAGGAUUGCACUUGAAACUGUACGGCUGGAGUGCAGUAGAGGUAAGCGGAAUUCGUAGUGUAGCGGUGAAAUGCGUAGAUAUUAGGAGGAACACCAGUGGCGAAGGCGGCUUACUGGACUGUAACUGACGUUGAUGCUCGAAAGUGUGGGUAGCAAACAGGAUUAGAUACCCCAGUAGUC